CAAAGUGCACCCAUACGCGUGAGUUUUACGUCAUCCCGGCUAAAGCGAGCUCCUUAUUGGCCAAAUAUUACGUAAUACAAGCGCGUGCGAGUAAAACCCGAUACCUUGAAAAAUUCAAAAUAAAUAUUUCUACUCGCCGUAUUCAUACGAAACUUUCUACACGAAAGCGCCUGAAUACAAAGAGUAUUUUACACAUAUAGCCUUCCAAAAAAUGACGAAAAGUUUAGAAGAUAUUCAAGUUUUUAUGUUUUUUCUCGUUUGAAUGUUUGGCGAAGCGGUGAGUAUAAAUAUAUGAUUGUUUCGGUUUGUGUAAUGUUUUGAUGGCACUUGACCCCCCGUUCGAAAGGUUAUUUUGUGAGGAUUUCAAUGGUGGCAUUUAUUUAAAAGGGGGGUAAAUACUCGCCGAGAUAUUUAUUUUUGAAAAAUUGAGUCGUAAUGUAAUGCGAAACCGGCUUGACGAGAAAGAGUUAAAUGUGUCUCAAUGUUGACUUUUUGUCCAUUUUGACGUAAAGCAACAAAAAACAACAAAAAAGCAAGGCUAUUUUGAUUGACGAUUUAUCAAUGCUAGCUUUUGAAAAAAAAAGAAAGAAAUUAAAGAAAUCACUUCAACAGAAGAACAAAGUGAUUUAAGGUUACAGGACACCCUUUUGCCAGUUUUGCGGAAAAUCGCUACUGCACGCUCAGUAUCAAUCCAAUUUUCGUCAAAUUUUCACCAAAUGUUCUCCAGUGCAUGCAAAAUAUGGUAAAGUUGUAAAAUUAACAAACAAUAAAAUAAUGUAAGAAUUAUUUAGGAAAAUCUUAAAUCGCGGUACCAUUACGCUUUUGAGUUGUGCUCCUGCUGGUUUUAAGUUAUAUUUAUGAAAAUAUCAUUUUUAUACAGCAAAAUAGUUGUUCUAAAAAAUUGUGUUCGGAAAUUUUUGUUUAUUUCGUCAUUCCGCUGAUAUGGCGAUUUCUUUGACGACUUGAAUAUAUUUCUGAAUUGUUUGAGUGAAUUGCUCUUUAUUUUUAAAAUAUCCAAAAUUUAAAAAAAGCCGACCAUAAUUUUCAAACUGACGUCUUUAGCUAUGUCCUGUGAAAAUUUGAGAAAAAUUGGUUAAAACCCGCAGGAGCACAACUCGUUUGAAAAUCAGUAAUUACCGUAAACUUUUUCGGGAGAAAAUUGAAUUUGAAUAUUACAUUUUCAAUGUUUUUCUUAUUCCAGCGAAAUGUAUUUUAUUAAAUAACUCUGCGAGUUUUCAACAUUUUUCGUUCAAACUAGGUCAGAUAGUAGAACUAGUCUAAUGCUUUCAUGGAAACCAAUAAAAAAAUUUUAGGCAAAAUUAACACUCAAAGGUGUUCUGUAACCUUAAAACGAAAAACUAAAAAAAAAAAGAAAUUGAAGAAAUCACUUCAAUGGAAGAACGAACUUUAAAACGAACGACUACAAUGCUUGAAACAGAUAAGACGAAAGACUGAGCAGAAACAGCAAAUAAGUAAGGUUAUUGGCUUAACUUUUCAUCGAUUUUAACAACUUUUUUUUGUAAAGGGGCAAAAACCAGCAAAAAAGUAAUUAAAAAGGUCAAACAACAGCAAAACGCGAUUUUUACGACAUUUUUCAUUUUACGUAAAGAGACAAAAAGGAGAAAAAAGGUAAGGCUAUAUAUACCCUUUACUUUUCGUCCAUUUUUGGCGACUUUUUUCAUUUUUCAUAAGUGGGCAUAAAACAGCAAAAAAGUAAGGCUAUAGCCUUCGUCCAUUUUUGGCGACUUUUUUCAUUUUUCAUAAGUGGGCAAAAAACAGCAAAAAAUUAAAGGCUAUACACUUUACUUUUCGUCCAUUUUUGGCGACUUUUUUCAUUUUUCAUAAGUGGUAAGGCUAUAGCCUUCGUCCAUUUUUAGCGACUUUUUUCAUUUUUCAUAAGUGGGUAAAAAACAGCAAAAAAGUAAGGCUAUACCCUUAACUUUUCGUCCAUUUUUGGUGACUUUUUCAUUUUUCAUAGUUGGGAAAAAACAGCAAAAAAGUAAGGCUAUAGCCUUCGUCCAUUUUUGGCGACUUUUUUCAUUUUUCAUAAGUGGGCAAAAAAACAGCAAGAAAGUAAGGCUAUACCCUUUACUUUUCGUCCAUUUUUGGCGACUUUUUUCAUUUUUCAUAAGUGGGAAAAAAACAGCAAGAAAGUAAGGCUAUACCCUUAACUUUUCGUCCAUUUUUGGCGACUUUUUUCAUUUUUCAUAAGUGGGAAAAAAACAGCAAGAAAGUAAGGCUAUACCCUUAACUUUUCGUCCAUUUUUGGCGACUUUUUUCAUUUUUCAUAAGUGGGCAAAAAACAGCAAAAAAGUAAGGCUAUACCCUUAACUUUUCGUCCAUUUUUGGCGACAUUUUUCAUAAGUGGGCAAAAAACAGCAAAAAAGUAAGGCUAUACCCUUUACUUUUCGUCCAUUUUUAGCGACUCUUUUCAUUUUUCAUAAGUGGGCAAAAAACAGCAAAAAAGUAAGGCUAUACCCUUAACUUUUCGUCCAUUUUUGGCGACUUUUUUCAUUUUUCAUAAGUGGGCAAAAAACAGCAAAAAAGUAAGGCUAUAUAGCCUUCGUCCAUUUUUGGCGACUUUUUUCAUUUUUCAUAAGUGGGCAAAAAACAGCAAAAAAGUAAGGCUAUAUCCUUAACUUUUCGUCCAUUUUUGGCGACUUUUUUCAUUUUUCAUAAGUGGGCAAAAAACAGCAAAAAAGUAAGGCUAUACCCUUUACUUUUCGUCCAUUUUCGGCGACUUUUUUCAUUUUUCAUAAGUGGGAAAAAACCAGCAAGAAAGUAAGGCUAUACCCUUUACUUUUCGUCCAUUUUUGGCGACUUUUUUCAUUUUUCAUAAGUGGGAAAAAAACAGCAAAAAAGUAAGGCUAUACCCUUUACUUUUCGUCCAUUUUUAGCGACUUUUUUCAUUUUUCAUAAGUGGGCAAAAAAACAGCAAAAAAGUAAG
Molecule: non-coding RNA, 2947 nt
Organism: Paramuricea clavata
Lineage: Eukaryota; Metazoa; Cnidaria; Anthozoa; Malacalcyonacea; Plexauridae
Source: the annotation of a GenBank genome assembly